UCAAAUAGUGAUGAUUCGCAAAAGGUUGAAAGUAAUUAUAUUAUAUUUAUAAUAUUUAUGUUGACCUUAUUUUCCAAAUGAGAGGAUAUAAUGAUAAACACGUGGAGAUUAAUAUAAACAUUUUUAUUCAUUUGCUUACUGGGAUA
RNAcentral lists this microRNA precursor (146 nucleotides) under Schistosoma mansoni. RNAcentral's name for it is "microRNA sma-mir-8460 precursor". The record is from miRBase by way of RNAcentral. Lineage: Eukaryota; Metazoa; Platyhelminthes; Trematoda; Strigeidida; Schistosomatidae.